GGGCAAUUAGCUCAGUUGAAAGAAAAAGAGCAUCGCCGCCCUUUAUAACGAAUGGCGAGGGUCGCUGGCAUCAAGUCCAGUAUCACCCACCA
This 92-nucleotide transfer RNA is filed under the name Pseudoalteromonas nigrifaciens. RNAcentral's name for it is "tRNA-OTHER". The record is from RNAcentral. Lineage: Bacteria; Pseudomonadati; Pseudomonadota; Gammaproteobacteria; Alteromonadales; Pseudoalteromonadaceae. RNAcentral also lists the same sequence under 1 other name.